CCUACGGGAGGCAGCAGUGGGGAAUAUUGCACAAUGGGGGAAACCCUGAUGCAGCGACGCCGCGUGAGUGAAGAAGUAUUUCGGUAUGUAAAGCUCUAUCAGCAGGGAAGAAAAUGACGGUACCUGAGUAAUAAGCCCCGGCUAACUACGUGCCAGCAGCCGCGGUAAUACGUAGGGGGCAAGCGUUAUCCGGAUUUACUGGGUGUAAAGGGAGCGUAGACGGCAGCACAAGUCUGGAGUGAAAUGCCGGGGCUUAACCCCGGAACUGCUUUGGAAACUGUGCAGCUAGAGUGCAGGAGAGGUAAGUGGAAUUCCUGGUGUAGCGGUGAAAUGCGUAGAUAUUAGGAGGAACACCAGUGGCGAAGGCGGCUUACUGGACUGUAACUGACGUUGAGGCUCGAAAGCGUGGGGAGCAAACAGGAUUAGAUACCCUAGUAGUC
Molecule: ribosomal RNA, 440 nt
Filed under: uncultured bacterium
Lineage: Bacteria
Description: partial 16S ribosomal RNA
Rfam family: Bacterial small subunit ribosomal RNA
Source: RNAcentral